CAUAGAACCCCAUAGGGACCCCAUAAGAACCCCAUAAGGACCUCAUAGAACCCCAUAAGACCCCAUAGAACCCCAUGGGACCCCAUGGGACCCCAUUGGACCCCAUAAAACCCCAUAAGGACCCCAUAGGACCCCAUAAAAACCCCAUAAAGACUCCUUUAAGCCCCCAUAGAGCCCCAUAGAACCCCAUAGGACCCCAUAGAGCCUCAUAAGGACCCCAUAGGCCCCCAUAAAGCCCCAUAGAACCCCAUAAGGACCCCAUAGAGCCUCAUAAGGACCACAUAGGACCCCAUAAAGACCCCAUAAGACCCCAUAGGACCCCAUAGAGCCCCAUAGGACCCCAUAGAACCCCUUUAAGCCCCCAUAGGACCCCAUAAAGCCCCAAUAAGACCCCAUAUAACCCCAUAAAGGCCCCAUAAGGACCCCAUAAGGACCCCAUAGAACCCCUUUAAGCCCCCAUAGGACCCCAUAGGGACCACAUAAGACCCCAUAAAACCCCAUGGGGACCCCAUAAAGACCCCAUAGGGACCCCAUAGGACCCCAUAGAGCCCCAUA
Long non-coding RNA from Gallus gallus (chicken), 555 nucleotides. The record is from Ensembl. Lineage: Eukaryota; Metazoa; Chordata; Aves; Galliformes; Phasianidae.